This 500-nucleotide ribosomal RNA is filed under the name uncultured bacterium. RNAcentral's name for it is "partial 16S ribosomal RNA". It matches the Rfam family "Bacterial small subunit ribosomal RNA", at positions 30 to 523 of the family's 1533-position model. The record is from RNAcentral.
AUUGAACGCUGGCGGCAUGCCUUACACAUGCAAGUCGAACGGCAGCACGGGAGCAAUCCUGGUGGCGAGUGGCGAACGGGUGAGUAAAGUAUCGGAACGUGCCCAGUCGUGGGGGAUAACGUAGCGAAAGUUACGCUAAUACCGCAUACGAUCUAUGGAUGAAAGCGGGGGAUCGCAAGACCUCGCGCGAUUGGAGCGGCCGAUAUCCGAUUAGGUAGUUGGUGGGGUAAAGGCUCACCAAGCCGACGAUCUGUAGCUGGUCUGAGAGGACGACCAGCCACACUGGGACUGAGACACGGCCCAGACUCCUACGGGAGGCAGCAGUGGGGAAUCUUGGACAAUGGGCGAAAGCCUGAUCCAGCCAUUCCGCGUGCAGGAUGAAGGCCCUCGGGUUGUAAACUGCUUUUGUACAGAACGAAAAGGUUUCUACUAAUACUAGGAGCUCAUGACGGUACUGUAAGAAUAAGCACCGGCUAACUACGUGCCAGCCGCCGCAGUAA